UGGGGAAUAUUGGACAAUGGGCGAAAGCCUGAUCCAGCCAUGCCGCGUGUGUGAAGAAGGUCUUCGGAUUGUAAAGCACUUUAAGUUGGGAGGAAGGGCAGUAACCUAAUACGUUGCUGUCUUGACGUUACCGACAGAAUAAGCACCGGCUAACUCUGUGCCAGCAGCCGCGGUAAUACAGAGGGUGCAAGCGUUAAUCGGAAUUACUGGGCGUAAAGCGCGCGUAGGUGGUUUGUUAAGUUGGAUGUGAAAGCCCCGGGCUCAACCUGGGAACUGCAUUCAAAACUGACUGACUAGAGUAUGGUAGAGGGUGGUGGAAUUUCCUGUGUAGCGGUGAAAUGCGUAGAUAUAGGAAGGAACACCAGUGGCGAAGGCGACCACCUGGACUGAUACUGACACUGAGGCACGAAAGCGUGGGGAGCAAACAGGAUUAGAUACCCCUGUAGUCCCUGAGCGGGCUGGCAAGGCGCAU
This 472-nucleotide ribosomal RNA is filed under the name uncultured bacterium. RNAcentral describes it as "bacterial SSU rRNA". It matches the Rfam family "Bacterial small subunit ribosomal RNA", at positions 355 to 825 of the family's 1533-position model. The record is from RNAcentral.